GGUGAACUCAUGGGGAAACACGCCACUCGACACAGUGGACCCCGAGAUCCACGAUCUCAUCGAGAAGGAGAAGCGUCGGCAGUGCCGAGGAAUCGAACUGAUCGCCUCGGAGAAUUUCACUUCAUUCGCCGUCAUCGAAGCCCUCGGCAGCCCCCUCACCAACAAAUACUCCGAGGGGAUUCCCGGUAACCGCUACUACGGCGGCAACGAGUUCAUCGACGAGAUCGAGAAUCUCUGCAGAUCGAGGGCUCUGAUUGCGUACCGUCUGGACCCCACCAAGUGGGGCGUCAAUGUCCAGCCGUACUCCGGCAGUCCGGCGAAUUUCGCGGCCUACACGGCGGUGCUCAACCCGCAUGACAGGAUCAUGGGGCUGGAUUUGCCGUCGGGGGGGCAUUUGACGCAUGGGUAUUAUACGUCUGGGGGGAAGAAGAUUUCGGCGACUUCGAUUUAUUUUGAGAGUUUGCCGUAUAAGGUGAAUUCGACGACUGGGUAUAUCGAUUAUGAGAAGCUGGAGGAGAAGGCUUUGGAUUUUAGGCCUAAGUUGAUUAUUUGUGGUGGAAGUGCUUAUCCUAGAGAUUGGGAGUAUAAGAAGCUCAGAGAGGUUGCUGAUAAGUGUGGGGCGCUUUUGCUCU
RNAcentral lists this long non-coding RNA (632 nucleotides) under Daucus carota (carrot). RNAcentral's name for it is "long non-coding RNA (DCAR_LNC001156)". The record is from RNAcentral. Lineage: Eukaryota; Viridiplantae; Streptophyta; Magnoliopsida; Apiales; Apiaceae.